This 538-nucleotide ribosomal RNA is filed under the name Russula vinosobrunneola. RNAcentral's name for it is "SSU rRNA". It matches the Rfam family "Bacterial small subunit ribosomal RNA", at positions 361 to 948 of the family's 1533-position model. The record is from RNAcentral. RNAcentral also lists the same sequence under 1 other name. Lineage: Eukaryota; Fungi; Basidiomycota; Agaricomycetes; Russulales; Russulaceae.
AUAUUAGUCAAUGCUCGAAAGAGUGAACUAGCUAACUGAAAUCAAUUAAAAUAAUUGAUAACAUAAGGGAAAAUAAUGAUAUUACCUUAUUAUUAGUGUCGUCCAAAUCUGGUGCCAGAAGACUCGGUAAGGCCAGAGACACAAACGUUAAUCGUCUUAAUCAGGCGUAAAGGGUUUGUAGGCGGCUUUAAAAUUUACUUAUACAAAAAUAAUAAGUAAAGAAUAAAAGCUAGAAUCAAAUAGAGGAUAUAUGAAAGAAUGCUUAGAGUAGGUCUGAUAUCCUUAGAUACUAAGUAGAAUAUUAAAGGCGAAAGCUUUUUUCCAUUAAUGAUUGACGCUCAGAAACGAAGGUGAGGAUAGGAAAUAGGAUUAGAUACCCAGAAUACCCCUCUCUGUCAACGAUGAAUGGUAGUUAUUAGUACAAAUUAUUAAUGGCAAUGUUAACACGAUAACCAUUCCGCCUUGUGAGUACAACUGCAAAGUUGAAAACAAAAAAAUUAGUCGGUUUCGGAGCAAACGAAGUGAAGCAUGUUAUUUA